This 303-nucleotide ribosomal RNA is filed under the name uncultured bacterium. RNAcentral's name for it is "partial 16S ribosomal RNA". It matches the Rfam family "Bacterial small subunit ribosomal RNA", at positions 507 to 807 of the family's 1533-position model. The record is from RNAcentral.
AGCAGUCGCCGCGGGAAUACGUAGGGUGCGAGCGUUAAUCGGAAUUACUGGGCGUAAAGCGUGCGCAGGCGGUUUUGUAAGACAGGCGUGAAAUCCCCGGGCUCAACCUGGGAAUGGCGCUUGUGACUGCAAAGCUAGAGUGCGGCAGAGGGGGAUGGAAUUCCGCGUGUAGCAGUGAAAUGCGUAGAUAUGCGGAGGAACACCGAUGGCGAAGGCAAUCCCCUGGGCCUGCACUGACGCUCAUGCACGAAAGCGUGGGGAGCAAACAGGAUUAGAUACCCCAGUAGUCCCUGUCUCUUAUAC